RNA transcript from Jaculus jaculus (lesser Egyptian jerboa), 596 nucleotides. It is a transcript of the gene named killin, p53 regulated DNA replication inhibitor, with no coding region annotated. The record is from RefSeq and is a predicted model, not a curated record. NCBI's taxonomy places the organism in Eukaryota, Metazoa, Chordata, Mammalia, Rodentia, Dipodidae. The transcript is spliced from 2 exons.
GCUGAGCAUGCCCAGUGGGACGGCCGCGACUCGCUCGGAAGCUCCCGCCUCGAUGUGCGCGGCUUGCGGGGGACCCCAGCUAGGCGUCUACCUGGAAGCCCAGCCGGGCAGGGGUGCGGGUUGCUGAUCGGUCCCAAGAGUCCCUGUUAGCACCAUCUUACUGUCCCUGGAGCCACCUUGCUUGAUAAUUAAUCUUAUAACAUCUGAGAAGCUCCGAAAUCUUUUCUGGCAAGAGAAAGAAACAGGGUUCCUUCCUGUGCUUCCUGGUGCUGCGCGGGAGGAGAGAAUCUCUUCAGUCGCCGCAGCAGUACUGUGGAGCUGAAAGCAGACCUGUCACAGCACUGAAGUGCUGAAAUAGGAGAUCAGCCCAGGAGCACUUCCAAGUGAAGGAAGAAAAAGGGAAAGGUUUUGCUGGUUCCCUGAACAUCAGCUCCUCUCCUCUUUAGUGACGAUUGAAAAGAUAACAGAUGUUGGCAAGUAUGUGGCCAGACAGACAGCAACAUCAAGAGGAGUUGCUGUCAUCUUUGGAAAUCUCUGAAUAAAAGCUCUUCCCCUUCCCAGGGUUAAAUAUAUUCCUAAAAGAAAUACUACUGUAA